UGCGCCUGAAGCACAUUGCCGCUAUCCUGGAGGCGGUCCUCUCUGGAUAUCAGCGUUGCGGCUGGAGGCAGGGCUGGUCCUCAGCCUGCUGUCCACUGCCACCUUGGCCUGCUCUUGCGCCGCGAACUCUGUGCCGUCGUUCCCUUUCACCAUAUUUUGGGACGGCCGGCGCUAAGAAUUUAUGCUAUGACCUUCGAUUCAGCCAGGAGGUGACACCAAACUUGAUCAGAAACCAUGCCACAGGUGAAGAGGUAUAUUGA
RNAcentral lists this long non-coding RNA (260 nucleotides) under Bos mutus (wild yak). RNAcentral describes it as "lncRNA (ENSBMUG00000014322.1)". The record is from RNAcentral. Lineage: Eukaryota; Metazoa; Chordata; Mammalia; Artiodactyla; Bovidae.